RNAcentral lists this ribosomal RNA (430 nucleotides) under uncultured deep-sea archaeon. RNAcentral describes it as "bacterial SSU rRNA". It matches the Rfam family "Archaeal small subunit ribosomal RNA", at positions 384 to 822 of the family's 1478-position model. The record is from RNAcentral.
AGUGUUCAAUAGAACUGUGGUAGGUGAGUAAUGUCCCCUACUAGAAAGGAGAGGGCAAGGCUGGUGCCAGCCGCCGCGGUAAAACCAGCUCUUCAAGUGGUCGGGAUAAUUAUUGGGCUUAAAGUGUCCGUAGCCGGUUUAGUAAGUUCCUGGUAAAAUCGGGUAGCUUAACUAUCUGCAUGCUGGGAAUACUGCUAUACUAGAGGGCGGGAGAGGUCUGAGGUACUACAGGGGUAGGGGUGAAAUCUUAUAAUCCUUGUAGGACCACCAGUGGCGAAGGCGUCAGACUGGAACGCGCCUGACGGUGAGGGACGAAAGCCAGGGGAGCGAACCGGAUUAGAUACCCGGGUAGUCCUGGCCGUAAACGAUGCAUACUAGGUGAUGGUACGGCCAUGAGCCGUAUCAGUGCCGUAGGGAAACCGUUAAGUGU